Molecule: ribosomal RNA, 502 nt
Filed under: uncultured bacterium
Lineage: Bacteria
Description: partial 16S ribosomal RNA
Rfam family: Bacterial small subunit ribosomal RNA
Source: RNAcentral
AUUGAACGCUGGCGGAAUGCUUUACACAUGCAAGUCGAACGGCAGCACGGGUGCUUGCACCUGGUGGCGAGUGGCGAACGGGUGAGUAAUGUAUCGGAACGUAUCCAAUAAUGGGGGAUAACUAAUCGAAAGGUUGGCUAAUACCGCAUACGCCCUACGGGGGAAAGCAGGGGAUCUUCGGACCUUGCGUUAAUGGAGCGGCCGAUAUCUGAUUAGCUAGUUGGUGAGGUAAAGGCUCACCAAGGCGACGAUCAGUAGCUGGUCUGAGAGGACGACCAGCCACACUGGAACUGAGACACGGUCCAGACUCCUACGGGAGGCAGCAGUGGGGAAUUUUGGACAAUGGGGGCAACCCUGAUCCAGCCACUCCGCGUGAGUGAAGAAGGCCUUCGGGUUGUAAAGCUCUUUCGCAAGGGAAGAAACGAUACAGUCUGAUAAACUGUGUUAAUGACGGUACCUUGAUAAGAAGCACCGGCUAACUACGUGCCAGCCGCCGCCGUAA